UUAGCAAAGCAUAACAAUUCACCUCUAUUUGUAAUCGGGAAUAGCAAAUCCACUAUGAAACCCCAAUCUUCAUCUUCUAUAAGUGUGGCAAAGUAAUUUGGCUGUAUGUGAUAAGCUAUGAAUGCAAAUCUCACUUUUUUUUAAUUAAAAGAAAGGGAUUGAUACUGACGAAGUAGAUCAACGGAUAAGCUUAGGUUUUUUUAUGAAUCAGAGAAAUUCUUCGUCGGUGUUGAUGCGUAACAGAGGGAAGGCAAAAAUUGAACUAUGCAAUUAACUGGAAGUAGAGAUAGAAGACGAUGAAUAAAUUUGAACAGUCUGCAACAAAGAAAUUAAUAUUUUAUUUCUUAUCUCUACAUGAUGAUUGAAGGGUAGAACGGUCUAUUUCUAUAGAAGAAAGUGCCGGUUUUCGUAAGUACAUACGAAAGUUCCGGAUCUUGUAAGUUUCUUAUUUUUUUCCAUCUCUUUCUCAUAAUUAAUCCUUAUUUUAAAUCUCUCUGCAUGCAUCACCAUAUUUCUGAAACUAUAGUGUUACAAAAUUACAAUAUAUACAUAAAAAGAACAAAAUUUU
This 568-nucleotide small RNA is filed under the name Arabidopsis thaliana (thale cress). RNAcentral's name for it is "ATSL082390". The record is from RNAcentral. Lineage: Eukaryota; Viridiplantae; Streptophyta; Magnoliopsida; Brassicales; Brassicaceae.